This 996-nucleotide long non-coding RNA is filed under the name Nicotiana benthamiana. RNAcentral's name for it is "long non-coding RNA (NBEN_LNC038745)". Lineage: Eukaryota; Viridiplantae; Streptophyta; Magnoliopsida; Solanales; Solanaceae. The record is from RNAcentral.
UAGAACCUUCCCCCCUCCUCUUUUAUGAGCUUCACUCACCUUCUCAGCUAUUUUCUUGCCUGAAUACAUGGUGGUUUCACCACCCAUCAGCCUUCUAUGGCUCAUCCACGCUUGGUUAUUCAAGUCUCAUGACCUGACCACGAAGAAGCUGGGUCCAGACCUUGCUUGAUUCAAUUUCCAUAGCCAUCUCCGGUCUUGCUCCGGCAAGUCAUGUCUGUUCGAGCCUUGCCUCCACUCCCCCUACUUAGAUCAACGACUAUCCAAGCCUUUUUAAUUGUUUGGGUUCCUCUGAAAUCCUAGCUUUUGAUGUUCUUCUGAUUUCUUUAGAUCUGUUGAACUUUUAAAUGAUUUCUUGUGAUUUCUUUCGAAAUUACGCUUUUAAAACCUUCAUUUUUCCGAUCUAGGGUUUUGGAGUUACUUAGAUGUUCUCUGAUUUUUUCUCUUAUGUGUUUCUUCUACUAUGUUUCUUAUCAAGUUUGUUCGACUGUGUUCUUUGUGUGUUUCUCGUACUGGGUUUCUUAUUAAGUUUCUUCUACUAUGAUUUUUUUAUAUAUUUCUCCUACCGUGCUCUUAUUAAUUUCUUCUACUAGGUUUCUUAUUAGUUUCUUCUACUAUAUGUCUGUGAGUUAUCUACUUUGUUUUGCAUGUUGUUCUUUUAAUAUGCUUCUCAUGAGUUCCUGCUAUUGAAAAAGCAUGUUAAUGGUCUCAGUUCCUUUCUGAAACCUCUGAACCUGUCUCGAUUAGUAUCCUUUUCCUCGAUUACUUGUCAUCUUAUCUCUGCACUCUAUUGAUGGUAAAAACCCUAGAAUUUGGGGGUUCAUCCGAGUUUUGAGACCAGUGGUUAUGUGAUUUGCUUGAACUUGUUUGAUUCCAUAAGCCCUAACUCUUUUGGACCUAUUUCGAGUUUCUGAAUUUGUUUCAUCUAUUACUCAACCGAGUCUUGAAAUCUUUGUUUCAACCUUUGUUUCUUUAAGCAAUUCUGAUUCUCUACUAAAC